This is a long non-coding RNA of Diceros bicornis minor, 1528 nucleotides long. RefSeq lists it as uncharacterized. The transcript is spliced from 4 exons. NCBI's taxonomy places the organism in Eukaryota, Metazoa, Chordata, Mammalia, Perissodactyla, Rhinocerotidae. The record is from RefSeq and is a predicted model, not a curated record.
AAUUUAUUUACUUGAAGUGCAUCCUUCCAUGGCUUGAGACUGCUGUGUUCCAUCUCCUUCCCUCUUUCCUUCGGACUGAGGUCCUUACGAGAAGAGGAGAUGAGGACACAGACACACACAGAGGGACGACCACGUGAGGACACUGGGAGAAGACGGUGUCUACAGGCCAAGGAGAGAGGGCUCAGGAGGAACCAGGAACCAGCCCUGCCCACACCUAGAUCUCGGAUGUCCAGCCUCCAGAACUAGUAUGUUCAACUCCAUGAAUAUGGCAUUUCACUGGAUAUAGAGGACCAAAGAAUGCCUUUGAGAGACAGUCUUACAAGGCACUGGAAGGUGUCUGACCACGGCAGCCCCAGAACAGGAUUUUUUAACUGAGAGAUAACAGGCAGAAACCCUGAAGGAAAAGACUGAUGCAUUCUACUCCAUGAAAAUUAAGAACUUCUUUUUCUGAAGACUCCAAUGAAAGAGUGAAAAGACAAGCUGUGGACUGAGAGAACAGAUUUGCUAUAAAUAAUCAACAGAGGAUUAAUAUUCAUAAUACAUAAAGAACUCCUACCCAUCAACUUGAAAAGACAACACAAUCGCAGAAAAAUGGGUAAAAGACGCAAACAGGCAUUUCAAAGAAGAAAUCUAAGUUACAAAUAAACAAAUGGAGGUGGGUCACCCAGUAGUAAUCAGGGAUAUAAAAUUAAAACCACAAUUGCUAUCACACAAUAGCGAAGCCGACCACAGAUGUGGAGACAUGGAAAUUGUAGACGCGGAAAUUGCUGUAGCUACUUGGAAAAAUCCUGUGGCGUUACUUGGUAAAGAUGAGGAUAUGCGUAUGACUCAGCAAUUCCACUGAUUACUUCCCCUGGGAAAAUGCCUACAAAAGUGUACUAGGAACCAUCUAUGAAAAUGUUCACGGCACCCGUGUCUGUAGGAGCAAGAGAUGGGAAGCGAUCCAGAUGGUCACUGAGAGGGAAAAAAUGUGUAAGUAGACCUCGCGGUAUGCAGACAGCAGAGUAAUACACCGCAGAGAAAAUUAGUGAAAUAUAGCUAAGUACAUCAACGUAAUUCCUGUAAUUCUAUCAACUGAUUUAUUUACACUAUGUGGUGAGAGUUUAUGAGCGAUUUUGACAUGAUGUAAGUGCAGAAUUUCAGAACAGGAACAGAUGAGAAAUGUCCACGGAGAAAAUAACUUCAGAAUUAUAAUUGGCCAUAGAAUAGGUUGAGAAGCAGCUAUUUUUUUUUCUCUUUCUCUAUUUUACUAAGCAAUAUAUCCCGCAUAUGACUGGACAUUGGUCAAGUGUGUCGACUUUGAUAUUUCUCUAGGCAAGAAGUCAACUAGACUUCAUCAUGCAAAGCUAUUCUAAAAAUAUCUUGUCUUUUUAAAAUGGAAGAAAUUUAUUGUUAAUUUUACAAGUAUACAUUUUCAUAUGUUAAUAAAAUAACCGAAAAUUCAAGUAAUAACCCAAAUAAGGCAUACCGUUGUCUGAUCUUGGUGACACAUGAAAGUCUUGAAUAUUAAAGUAAGUAAAUGUACUUC